GCCGCGGGGCGGCGGGCGGCCAAUCAGGGGGCGCGGCCGAGGCAGCCGGGCCCGGGUUUUAAACCAGCUCCUCCGGCGCGCGGCCUCGGAUGAUGUGGGGCGCGGACGCUGUGCGGCUGCCGGAGGGAACGCCGGGCGCCCCGUUAGAUGCGAAUGUCACACAGAAAGGAAUACUUAUUUUGGACAACUCCGGGAUCUGAAGAUAAAGGAAUGAGUAAAUUUGUCUGCAUCCAGCUAUAUCCCCAGAGAGGCAUUCUCCACAGCAACUUGCUUUUCUUAAAUGAAUGUGCUGCUAUGUCUUUACCUAGAAGGCUUUUUCUUCAGAGCUUCAGACGCUGGCAUCUUCUCAUUUGUGUUUCUGAUCAAAUGUCACCUCCAUGGAGAAGGCUUCUCUGACUCUCCCGUAAAAGCUGACAGCUGGAUAGCAAGAGCAGUUCCAGCUCUCACGUUCACACAGAAUGCCAUCCAGAGACCAUACACCGCAGUUGCUCUCUGUUUGAAAGUGCAGACUGUGAAAGAGGAUGGCUUUUACAGAUGGACUGGCAUGAUGUGGAAGAGUCAGAAGCACAUGCGGAAUAAGCAGGGCCUGGAAGACGGGAGUGACCACAAGAUCAAAUGUCACCUAGGAGUUUGCCGAAAUCCUCGAGAGGACCUUGGACAUUCAUAUACUCUGAAAUUGAGGAUUUGAACCAAUCUUGGACAUUCAUAUACUGUGAAAUUGAGGAUUUGAGCGAUCAUAAGGUACCAUCACCUCUAGGUGACAUCUAUAAUCCUUCAACAACUCUAACAGGUCGUCAUUAUUACCUAUAUUCAUGGAUAAAAAAAGCUAUUUCAAAGAAAUGGAGUUGCCUGUCUUAGUUCACAUAGAAUUAAGCUGAGUCAUGGAUUUCUUACUAUGCUGAGUAACUGAUUUUCAAAUAAAGGGAAUAAUCUAGAUAAGUUUCUUUAUAAAAACAUACAAUAGUAAUGUGUAAAAGUGGAACUUUAUGGUUUCUCAGAGGCCUUUGUAUAAUUCCUGAUCUCUAACGUUGAUGAUUUCUUGGGCUUACUGUGUUGUCCUGUAUGGGCAACUUAAUAGUUUGCAAGUUAGAGAUUUGUCUUUGCAGCACAGUUAUUUUGUUAAAUAGAAUAAUUAUAUUUGGUACUUAAUGGUUAACUUAAUAUUAUGAGCCCUUAAGUGACAUUUUUAAAGCUCAUACUCUUUAUUUUGCAACACCUUAAACCUGUUUCACAUCAAAUGUUUCUACAGAAAUUUCAGGUGAAGGGCAAAUUGAAUUUGAAUCUAUGGUUCUUCCAAGUUAAGCUUUUGCAUGUUAUGGCAGGUUCUUAAGGCACUUUGGUUCUCAUUUUAGAAGCGCCUCCAACGAUGCCUAAAUAAAAGCUAGGUUUGAAGCCUAAAAUACAUUCCCUUAGAACUUACAUGUAUGUCUGUCAAUGCAAGUAAGUGGAACUGUCACAGACAUACUAAAACCUAAGCAUAUGUAAAUCUCAACAUAGAAGGCAAAAUAUCGUUGAUCCAGUCCUGUUUGCGAUAUGGAAUAAUGGAUCUGUGAUAGAAUUGGUUGUCUAAUACUUCACCAGCCUGUGAGUACAUGACACCACACAAAAAAAAAUGGCUCGUAGAACCCAUGUACCUAUGCAGGACCAUGGCCUCUCUCGUUAUUUUGGGUUGUCCGCAGUCUGGCGGUGAGUUGCCUGUGCUCAGGAACAUAACCACUUACAAUCUUCUUUUAGCAGUUCUUGUCAAUACUGCUGGGCACUCCUUCUGCUGAUGGUGCUCUCUGUGGGAAUGCUGCAUAAAUGUUCUCUGCUAUGGCC
This 1818-nucleotide long non-coding RNA is filed under the name Equus caballus (horse). Its description in RNAcentral is "lncRNA (ENSECAG00000030863.3)". Lineage: Eukaryota; Metazoa; Chordata; Mammalia; Perissodactyla; Equidae. The record is from RNAcentral.